CUAAUCUGCGAUAAGCGCCGGUAAGGUGAUAUGAACCGUUAUAACCGGCGAUACCCGAAUGGGGAAACCCAGUGUGACUCGUCACACUAUCAUUAACUGAAUCCAUAGGUUAAUGAGGCGAACCGGGGGAACUGAAACAUCUAAGUACCCCGAGGAAAAGAAAUCAACCGAGAUUCCCCCAGUAGCGGCGAGCGAACGGGGAGGAGCCCAGAGCCUGAAUCAGCAUGUGUGUUAGUGGAAGCGUCUGGAAAGGCGCGCGAUACAGGGUGACAGCCCCGUACACAAAAGCGCAUGUGCUGUGAGCUCGAUGAGUAGGGCGGGACACGUGGUAUCCUGUCUGAAUAUGGGGGGACCAUCCUCCAAGGCUAAAUACUCCUGACUGACCGAUAGUGAACCAGUACCGUGAGGGAAAGGCGAAAAGAACCCCGGCGAGGGGAGUGAAAAAGAACCUGAAACCGUGUACGUACAAGCAGUGGGAGCACCCUUUGGGUGUGACUGCGUACCUUUUGUAUAAUGGGUCAGCGACUUAUAUUCUGUAGCAAGGUUAACCGAAUAGGGGAGCCGGAGGGAAACCGAGUCUUAAUUGGGCGUUAAGUUGCAGGGUAUAGACCCGAAACCCGGUGAUCUAGCCAUGGGCAGGUUGAAGGUUGGGUAACACUAACUGGAGGACCGAACCGACUAAUGUUGAAAAAUUAGCGGAUGACCUGUGGCUGGGGGUGAAAGGCCAAUCAAACCGGGAGAUAGCUGGUUCUCCCCGAAAGCUAUUUAGGUAGCGCCUCGUGAAUUCAUCUCCGGGGGUAGAGCACUGUUUCGGCUAGGGGGCCAUCCCGGCUUACCAACCCGAUGCAAACUGCGAAUACCGGAGAAUGUUAUCACGGGAGACACACGGCGGGUGCUAACGUCCGUCGUGAAGAGGGAAACAACCCAGACCGCCAGCUAAGGUCCCAAAGUCAUGGUUAAGUGGGAAACGAUGUGGGAAGGCCCAGACAGCCAGGAUGUUGGCUUAGAAGCAGCCAUCAUUUAAAGAAAGCGUAAUAGCUCACUGGUCGAGUCGGCCUGCGCGGAAGAUGUAACGGGGCUAAACCAUGCACCGAAGCUGCGGCAGCGACACUGUGUGUUGUUGGGUAGGGGAGCGUUCUGUAAGCCUGUGAAGGUGUGUCGUGAGGCAUGCUGGAGGUAUCAGAAGUGCGAAUGCUGACAUAAGUAACGAUAAAGCGGGUGAAAAGCCCGCUCGCCGGAAGACCAAGGGUUCCUGUCCAACGUUAAUCGGGGCAGGGUGAGUCGACCCCUAAGGCGAGGCCGAAAGGCGUAGUCGAUGGGAAACGGGUUAAUAUUCCCGUACUUGGUGUUACUGCGAAGGGGGGACGGAGAAGGCUAUGUUGGCCGGGCGACGGUUGUCCCGGUUUAAGCGUGUAGGUGUGUGUUCCAGGUAAAUCCGGUUCACUUUAACACUGAGGCGUGACGACGAGGCACUACGGUGCUGAAGCAACAAAUGCCCUGCUUCCAGGAAAAGCCUCUAAGCAUCAGGUAACAUCAAAUCGUACCCCAAACCGACACAGGUGGUCAGGUAGAGAAUACCAAGGCGCUUGAGAGAACUCGGGUGAAGGAACUAGGCAAAAUGGUGCCGUAACUUCGGGAGAAGGCACGCUGACACGUAGGUGAAGUGAUUUACUCAUGGAGCUGAAGUCAGUCGAAGAUACCAGCUGGCUGCAACUGUUUAUUAAAAACACAGCACUGUGCAAACACGAAAGUGGACGUAUACGGUGUGACGCCUGCCCGGUGCCGGAAGGUUAAUUGAUGGGGUCAGCGCAAGCGAAGCUCCUGAUCGAAGCCCCGGUAAACGGCGGCCGUAACUAUAACGGUCCUAAGGUAGCGAAAUUCCUUGUCGGGUAAGUUCCGACCUGCACGAAUGGCGUAAUGAUGGCCAGGCUGUCUCCACCCGAGACUCAGUGAAAUUGAACUCGCUGUGAAGAUGCAGUGUACCCGCGGCAAGACGGAAAGACCCCGUGAACCUUUACUAUAGCUUGACACUGAACAUUGAGCCUUGAUGUGUAGGAUAGGUGGGAGGCUUUGAAGUGUGGACGCCAGUCUGCAUGGAGCCGACCUUGAAAUACCACCCUUUAAUGUUUGAUGUUCUAACGUGGACCCGUUACCCGGGUUGCGGACAGUGUCUGGUGGGUAGUUUGACUGGGGCGGUCUCCUCCUAAAGAGUAACGGAGGAGCACGAAGGUUGGCUAAUCCUGGUCGGACAUCAGGAGGUUAGUGCAAUGGCAUAAGCCAGCUUGACUGCGAGCGUGACGGCGCGAGCAGGUGCGAAAGCAGGUCAUAGUGAUCCGGUGGUUCUGAAUGGAAGGGCCAUCGCUCAACGGAUAAAAGGUACUCCGGGGAUAACAGGCUGAUACCGCCCAAGAGUUCAUAUCGACGGCGGUGUUUGGCACCUCGAUGUCGGCUCAUCACAUCCUGGGGCUGAAGUAGGUCCCAAGGGUAUGGCUGUUCGCCAUUUAAAGUGGUACGCGAGCUGGGUUUAGAACGUCGUGAGACAGUUCGGUCCCUAUCUGCCGUGGGCGCUGGAGAACUGAGGGGGGCUGCUCCUAGUACGAGAGGACCGGAGUGGACGCAUCACUGGUGUUCGGGUUGUCAUGCCAAUGGCACUGCCCGGUAGCUAAAUGCGGAAGAGAUAAGUGCUGAAAGCAUCUAAGCACGAAACUUGCCCCGA
This 2716-nucleotide ribosomal RNA is filed under the name Salmonella enterica subsp. enterica serovar Enteritidis. Its description in RNAcentral is "partial 23S ribosomal RNA". It matches the Rfam family "Bacterial large subunit ribosomal RNA". The record is from RNAcentral. Lineage: Bacteria; Pseudomonadati; Pseudomonadota; Gammaproteobacteria; Enterobacterales; Enterobacteriaceae.